Molecule: ribosomal RNA, 337 nt
Filed under: uncultured bacterium
Lineage: Bacteria
Description: bacterial SSU rRNA
Rfam family: Bacterial small subunit ribosomal RNA
Source: RNAcentral
AACGAACGCUGGCGGCAUGCCUAACACAUGCAAGUCGAACGAGACCUUCGGGUCUAGUGGCGCACGGGUGCGUAACGCGUGGGAAUCUGCCCUUUGCUUCGGAAUAACAGUUAGAAAUGACUGCUAAUACCGGAUGAUGUCUUCGGACCAAAGAUUUAUCGGCAAAGGAUGAGCCCGCGUAGGAUUAGGUAGUUGGUGGGUAAAGGCCUACCAAGCCGACGAUCCUUAGCUGGUCUGAGAGGAUGAUCAGCCACACUGGGACUGAGACACGGCCCAGACUCCUACGGGAGGCAGCAGUGGGGAAUAUUGGACAAUGGGCGCAAGCCUGAUCCAGCAA